RNAcentral lists this unclassified non-coding RNA (240 nucleotides) under soil metagenome. Its description in RNAcentral is "partial contains 5.8S ribosomal RNA, internal transcribed spacer 2, and large subunit ribosomal RNA". The record is from RNAcentral.
AACCUUAUGGACCUGCGGGCGUAUACCUGCGGAAGGAUCAUUACACAAUAAACAUAUGAAGGCUGCACCGCCAACAGGCGGCAAGGCUGGAGUAUUUUAUUACCCUUGUCUUUUGCGCACUUGUUGUUUCCUGGGCGGGUUCGCCCGCCUCCAGGACCACAUGAUAAACCUUUUUUAUGCAGUUGCAAUCAGCGUCAGUACAACAAAUGUAAAUCAUUUACAACUUUCAACAACGGAUCU